This 518-nucleotide ribosomal RNA is filed under the name uncultured bacterium. RNAcentral describes it as "bacterial SSU rRNA". It matches the Rfam family "Bacterial small subunit ribosomal RNA", at positions 38 to 604 of the family's 1533-position model. The record is from RNAcentral.
GGCGGCAGGCCUAACACAUGCAAGUCGAACGCACCGCAAGGUGAGUGGCAGACGGGUGAGUAACACGUGGGAACCUUCCUAUUAGUAUGGAAUAGCCCGGCGAAAGCCGGAUUAAUACCGUAUACGCCCUAAGGGGGAAAGAUUUAUCGCUAAUAGAUGGGCCCGCGUAAGAUUAGCUAGUUGGUGAGGUAAUGGCUCACCAAGGCUACGAUCUUUAGCUGGUUUGAGAGAAUGAUCAGCCACACUGGAACUGAGACACGGUCCAGACUCCUACGGGAGGCAGCAGUGGGGAAUAUUGGACAAUGGGCGCAAGCCUGAUCCAGCCAUGCCGCGUGAAUGAUGAAGGCCUUCGGGUUGUAAAGUUCUUUUAGUGGGGAAAAUAAUGAUGGUAUCCACAGAAAAAGCCCCGGCUAACUUCGUGCCAGCAGCCGCGGUAAUACGAAGGGGGCUAGCGUUGUUCGGAAUUACUGGGCGUAAAGGGUUUGUAGGCGGUUGAACAAGUCAGUGGUGAAAGCCCA